Molecule: ribosomal RNA, 643 nt
Filed under: uncultured Actinomycetes bacterium
Lineage: Bacteria; Bacillati; Actinomycetota; Actinomycetes
Description: bacterial SSU rRNA
Rfam family: Bacterial small subunit ribosomal RNA
Source: RNAcentral
CGCGGCCUAUCAGCUUGUUGGUGAGGUAACGGCUCACCAAGGCGACGACGGGUAGCCGGCCUGAGAGGGCGACCGGCCACACUGGGACUGAGACACGGCCCAGACUCCUACGGGAGGCAGCAGUGGGGAAUAUUGCACAAUGGGCGAAAGCCUGAUGCAGCGACGCCGCGUGUGGGAUGACGGCCUUCGGGUUGUAAACCUCUUUCAGCAGGGAAGAAGCGAAAGUGACGGUACCUGCAGAAGAAGCGCCGGCUAACUACGUGCCAGCAGCCGCGGUAAUACGUAGGGCGCAAGCGUUGUCCGGAAUUAUUGGGCGUAAAGAGCUCGUAGGCGGCUUGUCACGUCGGGUGUGAAAGCCCAGGGCUUAACCCCGGGUCUGCAUCCGAUACGGGCAGGCUAGAGUGUGGUAGGGGAGAUCGGAAUUCCUGGUGUAGCGGUGAAAUGCGCAGAUAUCAGGAGGAACACCGGUGGCGAAGGCGGAUCUCUGGGCCAUUACUGACGCUGAGGAGCGAAAGCGUGGGGAGCGAACAGGAUUAGAUACCCUGGUAGUCCACGCCGUAAACGUUGGGAACUAGGUGUUGGCGACAUUCCACGUCGUCGGUGCCGCAGCUAACGCAUUAAGUUCCCCGCCUGGGGAGUACGG